CGAUAGCGAGGGAUACAAAUAUUUGGAUGAAAUCUGUGGAUUCGGUGGGGUAAUCGAGUAUCUUCCUAAAGAUUGGGGUCAUGUUCUACAGGAGACAUUUCAACCCUGGGGAACUUCAAAGCCGUAGCUGUUAAUUCAAAAGUCUUAAAGGGAAAAACAGUGUCCCAGAGAGAUUGCUUAGCUAAUAGUUAUUGUGAUGGGUAAUUAUAAGCACUUUUAGUUUGUCACUUUCCGUGCACAAAGCCAAUGAAAAUAUCUGAAAAUCCAAUAUAAUGAACUGCAUGUCUGGUGUCUUGCAUAUGUGGGUCUGUAAUCAGCAAUAAACAAAAUAUAUUUCCACAAAGUUGUGUGAUUUUCCUUUUUCUGUGUUCCCAAGCAUUGGGAGGGACUCUGGUUUCUUUUGUCAUGAUCGUUGUAAUUACAUUGAAUUGUCACAUGUUGGGUUCAGUAUAUACUAGGUAUAACAUCCUUACUCAAAUAAAAAUACAACAUCUCAGACCCAUGGACAAAUGCCUAAUAUUAUCCAGCAACACAGACGGUUUACUGUACGGCUUGUGUGCCAUCCCACCCAAGAGAUUGAAAAUGUAACAAACAUCCAUUGAUUAUAAGCGUUUGGAGAGUGCAGUAAAGUAGGGAAGAGAAGAGCUCAUACCCUGAAGGCUGAUUCACUGUCACAGCAUAUAAAUCAAAGAAGGAAUAGGCGAGGGGGUGGGGGGUGGAGCGACAGUCAGGUCGGGGUUUUCCAUGUGUGUACACCUACAGGUCUCACUGACACUAGAAAACAUCCAUCCAGGGAUAGAGACGAUGCUUAAUAACGCCAUACAAUAGGCUACUACAUAUCAGGACCCUCUGCAGUCAGUUGUAUGCCUUCUAAUGAUUUGAGCCGUGAUGAAGUUCAGUGAGACACUCCUCCUUCUCAGCCUGUCUCUACUAAGCUGUGGCUCUCGCCGGGAUCCAGAAUGUUCCAGCGUGAGCUUGUGGGGGAAGAUGGCUGACUUCACAGGGGAGUGCAGUUACUGGCAGCUGAGUCCGGACCUCUCCAUCCCUGCCCUGGAGGAGCUCAGCGUGUGUGUUCACCUCCAGCGGCACAUCAGCACACCAGCCUGGACAGCCUUCAUGUACCGCCACCCUGACGGGCUGCAGGCUGAGCUGGGCCUGGCGGGUCAGGAGGGCCUGGUCCACACCUGGCUGUUUGGGAUGAGGUGGUCAGCCCCCCUCCACCUCCCCCUGGGCCACUGGCACUACGUCUGUAUAACCUGGUCUGGGGCUUCUCACCAGCCAGCCCUCUACGUCAAUGGGACCAGUGUGGAUGUUACAGCCCAUGCUAACGAAUCCCCCCUGUCCCCGUCCUGCUGCAGGCUGGCCCCGCACGGCACGCUCAGCCUGGGUGUCUCCCACUACUUCAUCCAAGGGGAGAUGCAUGUGGAAAACGGUACCAACCUCAAUGGGAGUGUUUCUCUGUUCCGCGUGUGGGGGCAGGCACGCACCCCUGAACAGGUGUCGGACCUGAGCUGCACAGAGGGGGAUGAGGUGCGCUGGGAUGCUGUUGACUGGCUUACCCUGAGCUGCCCUCCAGUCCCAGACUCCCAUCUACAGUGUGCCUGGUCUUUGUACGAACUUAAAGUCAAGAUCGCCAUCAUCUGCUACGAUGGAAACAGUACAGAUGUAUACAAAGCCAGAGACCUUGCACAGAAAUGGCUCAGACACAUAUUACCAUCCAACAAAUAUCAUUUGUACAGAGUCUCUGUGUCUGUGUCAACCAGUGUCGGUGAGACAUAUGAGGACGAGGCCCAUGUAAGUGUUGAACUUGACGGAAUGACGAUACUACACAGUAACAACAAUAACGGGAUAGUUACAUAUACAUUUACUCUGAUGAUAAUCCGUGCAACGUUUUUAGAGAACAGAUGAUAUAGCAUGUACUACAAUUUCAAUUCCCCAGGACAAACCAAUAUUGCGGGCUGAAUUUGAUGCAAACCGGUAAGAAAGGCAUUAUUCUGGUGGCGUUCAUAAGUUUUGAGUUUCCCUUUUUUUUGAAUGGUCUCUGUGACACUACAAUUGGCAGAAAUGAACACAAAAAUAUACACACUGUUUAACAUGUCCAGGAGCUGAUUGAAGCUAUAGGUUUGGGAAUAAAAGGACUUGCCCUUGUUGUGGUUUGAUAAUUGCUGUAUUCACCACACAGCUUUGACUGCCUGGUCCACCUCAACGUGAUCCCCAGCUCUGAUGUCAGUACAGUGCAGAAACAGGUCUCUCAGUUGCUGAACACACCUCACAACGUCGGAUAUCUCACGCUAAUGGCUAACCCCAAGAGCAUCCAAGUGAACGCUGUAGGUAAGUCACAAACCAUUCCAAAAGGAAUCCCACCUCUGGAGAAAAAGUCAUAACUAAAGAGUAGCCAACUGGGGAAGAACGGUUACUGAAUGAUUAGGCCCAGAGUUGUUCCUGGUCACAUGGCCAGGAGGACAGAUUCCUGGCCCUAUAUAUGAUAUAGAAAAGUGAUGCCAAUGCAGGUCCAUGGUUCCACUGUGAUGAUGAGA
Molecule: long non-coding RNA, 2537 nt
Organism: Oncorhynchus mykiss (rainbow trout)
Lineage: Eukaryota; Metazoa; Chordata; Actinopteri; Salmoniformes; Salmonidae
Source: Ensembl